ACAGGCUUAACACAUGCAAGUCGAGGGGCAUCAGGAAGAAAGCUUGCUUUCUUUGCUGGCGACCGGCGCACGGGUGAGUAACACGUAUCCAACCUGCCCUUUACUCGGGGAUAGCCUUUCGAAAGAAAGAUUAAUACCCGAUAGCAUAAUGAUUCCGCAUGGUUUCAUUAUUAAAGGAUUCCGGUAAAGGAUGGGGAUGCGUUCCAUUAGGUUGUUGGUGAGGUAACGGCCCACCAAGCCUUCGAUGGAUAGGGGUUCUGAGAGGAAGGUCCCCCACAUUGGAACUGAGACACGGUCCAAACUCCUACGGGAGGCAGCAGUGAGGAAUAUUGGUCAAUGGGCGCUAGCCUGAACCAGCCAAGUAGCGUGAAGGAUGAAGGCUCUAUGGGUCGUAAACUUCUUUUAUAUAAGAAUAAAGUGCAGUAUGUAUACUGUUUUGUAUGUAUUAUAUGAAUAAGGAUCGGCUAACUCCGCGCCAGCAGCCGCGGUAAUACGGAGGAUCCGAGCGUUAUCCGGAUUUAUUGGGUUUAAAGGGAGCGUAGGUGGACUGGUAAGUCAGUUGUGAAAGUUUGCGGCUCAACCGUAAAAUUGCAGUUGAUACUGUCAGUCUUGAGUACAGUAGAGGUGGGCGGAAUUCGUGGUGUAGCGGUGAAAUGCUUAGAUAUCACGAAGAACUCCGAUUGCGAAGGCAGCUCACUGGACUGCAACUGACACUGAUGCUCGAAAGUGUGGGUAUCAAACAGGAUUAGAUACCCUGGUAGUCCACACAGUAAACGAUGAAUACUCGCUGUUUGCGAUAUACAGUAAGCGGCCAAGCGAAAGCAUUAAGUAUUCCACCUGGGGAGUACGCCGGCAACGGUGAAACUCAAAGGAAUUGACGGGGGCCCGCACAAGCGGAGGAACAUGUGGUUUAAUUCGAUGAUACGCGAGGAACCUUACCCGGGCUUAAAUUGCAGUGGAAUGAUGUGGAAACAUGUCAGUGAGCAAUCACCGCUGUGAAGGUGCUGCAUGGUUGUCGUCAGCUCGUGCCGUGAGGUGUCGGCUUAAGUGCCAUAACGAGCGCAACCCUUAUCUUUAGUUACUAACAGGUUAUGCUGAGGACUCUAGAGAGACUGCCGUCGUAAGAUGUGAGGAAGGUGGGGAUGACGUCAAAUCAGCACGGCCCUUACGUCCGGGGCUACACACGUGUUACAAUGGGGGGUACAGAAGGCAGCUAGCGGGUGACCGUAUGCUAAUCCCAAAAUCCUCUCUCAGUUCGGAUCGAAGUCUGCAACCCGACUUCGUGAAGCUGGAUUCGCUAGUAAUCGCGCAUCAGCCACGGCGCGGUGAAUACGUUCCCGGGCCUUGUACACACCGCCUGUCAAGCCAUGGGAGCCGGGGGUACCUGAAGUACGUAACCGCAAGGAUCGUCCUAGGGUAAAACUGGUGACUGGGGCUAC
This 1439-nucleotide ribosomal RNA is filed under the name uncultured organism. RNAcentral's name for it is "SSU rRNA". It matches the Rfam family "Bacterial small subunit ribosomal RNA". The record is from RNAcentral.